UCAGAAUCUGCAGCUCUCUUCUCUCCACAGUGAAGUCCUCUUUCCAUCUACAGGUGGCUACUGCAUCAGAUCUGUCUCUCUCUGGAGAAGAAGGGACUCUGGGAAGAAUGCUGUGCGCUUGGCACUGAACUGAUCAUCACCAAAGCUGGCAGAUUCUCUAGCUCCUGGGAGCCGCUGGAAGAAAGAAUCAAUCUCCUUCCAGAGAAUAAAGAUCUCCAGUAAAGCUCUGGAGCAGUGUGAUCCUGUAAGAGAAGCCUGGAUAUUUCACUCUGCUUGAAUCUGUAUCAAAAGCGUGGUGCUGUAAACCACAGUCUGUUAUUUUGCACUUGAUGCACGAAGACCUGUCCUGGCUCUGUGUGGUGCUGACCAGGAGGUUGCCUGUGCUUUGCCUGGAACGCGGUAGCUUCCUUUGUGUUCUCAGAAGUGACUUUUAUGGCUGUGAUCGAUGAUCAGAAUCCCAAGUGGGAAGAAGCUCAGAAGCACCGAGCUAGUGAAGCAAGCUGGUAGCAAGGAGGGUGCCGUGAGCUCCGUGGCGAGUGCUGAGCAGCGUCUGGGACACACAAUGCAUCGGCAGGAAAGCAGUGCACCUAACAUCAGGCGUCUGCCAAAACUUGAAAGGGUUCUAGACGCGGAUACUUUGCAUUUGACUCUGGAGCGUAGCCUUUGAGGCCAAACUCAGCCUUCAGUGUUAAGUGGCCUAUUCAGCCAGCG
RNAcentral lists this long non-coding RNA (711 nucleotides) under Struthio camelus australis. Its description in RNAcentral is "lncRNA (ENSSCUG00000018886.1)". Lineage: Eukaryota; Metazoa; Chordata; Aves; Struthioniformes; Struthionidae. The record is from RNAcentral.